Molecule: non-coding RNA, 72 nt
Organism: Pavlovales sp. CCMP2436
Lineage: Eukaryota; Haptophyta; Pavlovophyceae; Pavlovales
Source: the annotation of a GenBank genome assembly
GCGCCGUUGGUGCAGUGGUUAGCAUGCUCGCCUUCCAAGCGAGCGACCGGAGUUCGAGUCUCCGGCGGCGCA